This 1251-nucleotide ribosomal RNA is filed under the name Triticum aestivum (bread wheat). RNAcentral describes it as "partial small subunit ribosomal RNA". The record is from RNAcentral. Lineage: Eukaryota; Viridiplantae; Streptophyta; Magnoliopsida; Poales; Poaceae.
AUGGCUUCUUGCUGCUGCCCAAUCAUUGCCUCGUUCGUCUCUUUCCUCCUCGUCUUCCCCGUCCUCUUCUCCUCCGCGGCGGGCAAUGGCAGCACAUUCGGGGAGGAGCAGCUCGGGCUCCGGCGGAUGAAGGCCCGGCUCGCCAGGGUCAGGGAAGCCUCUGUCAAGACGAUCCAGAGCCCUGACGGCGACGUCAUAGACUGCGUGCCCUCUCACCUGCAGCCCGCGUUCGAUCAUCCCAGGCUGAGAGGCCAGAAACCAGAGGAGGAACCUGCGGCGAGGCCAGGGAAUGACCACGCCAUGGAAGACGACGACGAGGAGGAGGUCUUGCCGCAGACGUGGAGGAGCUCCGGCGAGUGGUGCCCCAAGGGGACCAUACCGGUGAGGCGGACGACGGAGGGCGACCUGCUCAGGGCCAGCUCCGUCCGGAGGUUCGGGAUGAAGCCCCGGAGUGCCGCGGCACGGCGGGACUCCACCAGCAACGGCCAUGAGCACGCGGUGGGGUACGUGAGCGGCGGGCAGUUCUACGGCGCCAAGGCGAGCCUGAACGUGUGGCCGGCGCAGGUGUCGUCGCCGGCCGAGUUCAGCCUGUCCCAGAUCUGGGUCAUCUCCGGCUCCUUCGGCAACGACCUCAACACCAUCGAGGCCGGCUGGCAGGUCAGCCCUGAGCUAUACGGGGACAACAGCCCCAGGUUCUUCACCUACUGGACCAGCGACGCGUACCAGGAGACGGGGUGCUACAACCUGCACUGCGCGGGCUUCGUGCAGACCAACGGCCGCGUGGUGAUCGGGGCCGCCAUCACGCCGGUGUCGGCCUACGGCGGCCGGCAGUUCGACAUCACGCUCAUGAUCUGGAAGGACCCCAAGAAGGGCAACUGGUGGCUGCAGCUGGGCCCGUCGGGCGCGCUGGUGGGCUACUGGCCGUCCUCCCUCUUCACCCACCUGGGCGCGCGCGGCCGCGGCGGCGCCGACAUGGUGCAGUUCGGCGGAGAGGCGGUCAACACGCGGCCGUCCGGGUCGCACACGCCCACCCAGAUGGGCAGCGGCCGGUUCCCGGGGGAAGGGUACGGCCGCGCGGCCUACUUCCGCAACGUGCAGGUCGUGGACUGGGACAACAACCUCAUCCCGGCGGCGGGGCUCCGGCUCCUCGCCGACCACCCGGGGUGCUACGACAUCGCCGGCGGCCAGGGCGGCGCGUGGGGCAGCUACUUCUACUACGGCGGGCCUGGCAGGAACGUCCGGUGCCCCUAG